This 2354-nucleotide long non-coding RNA is filed under the name Olea europaea subsp. europaea. The record is from RNAcentral. Lineage: Eukaryota; Viridiplantae; Streptophyta; Magnoliopsida; Lamiales; Oleaceae.
CAAGAAUUUAAUCUCAGUAUGCUUUUAGGUGAGAAGAAUCAGUAAAUUCCUUUCAAUACCAAAAAAGGAUGAGUUUUCCUGAUGCUGCACAACCACCACCUCUUCUUCCUCUACCUUUUGCCGGUGGAGAUGUUGAUAGGUUUUGGCCUUCAGCACCUAUGAAUGAUGCUGUUUCUCAAUUUGAGCAUUCAAGAGACCAAUGAAUUUCGAAAACAAUGCAUCAAAUUCUACAUCCUUUGCACAGAUGAAAUCCCAGUAUGACAUUACUAAAUCCUCGGAGACUAAAGGAACAAGCCAUUUAUUUUACAAGACUCGUAUUUGUGCAAAAAAAUCACCAAAGGUGCCUACAUGAUUUUAGCUGCCCUUAAAGGGGCCUGAUAUGGAUCCUUUAAAAAUAAUACUCAGCUGUCCAAGUGCAGCAGAUUUUUAAUUCUUUACUUUUUUGUUAAAAAAAUAAAUAAAUAAAAAGUUGAAUCGAUCAGACCACCUGAAAAGGGUAGAAACUUGUGCUGUGACUAAGCACACAAUUAUGUGCAAACAUGGAAUUAAAUUGCCUGUGAUGCCAUGACUUUAAAUUCUCAUCCACAAGACUCCGAAGUAGACUACCCAAAGAGUGAGUCACUCUGUGGAAACAACAGUAAAAUCCAAUCGAUAAAUCCAACAAAUGUAUAACUACAUACAUACAUGCAUUAUGCAUACGUUGGACAUACACACACACAAAGAGCAAGAGAAACUUGGGAGUUCCCAUAUUCACUUUCCUAAACAAUCUUGACAAAUAAAACAAUCUUUGUCGAAGCCUGGCACUAGGCAACGGUUAAUUCUUAUACCAGCUGCUAAGAAAGCGCGGCAAUUACAUUAAUAUCCCUGCCUUGUUUGGUUCCACGUCGCAAUUCCUGGGGUUUUCCUAAAGGGCUCACUGUUUUUCUUUAUUUCAUUUUACACCAUAAAAAUUUGUAGGGGUGUGCUUGAUUGCAAGGAAUUUGAAUGAAUAGUUUUAUUUGUUGGUCAAAGUAGUUAACAUUUUAGUGUGAAACCAUUGAAUGACUCUUUUGUAAGGAAAAUUGGUUGAAGCAAUCACGAUAAUGAAAUAUGUAUUUCUUGUAAAUUUCAUUUUAUAUAAUUUCAAGAAGUCUACGUUCAACACUUUUUACGCGUAAUUAUUAUUUUCGGUUUUUUACUUAUAUUUUUGUUGUACAAGUGAUCCCCUAAAUUUUUACACUCAACACAUACAUAUUAGUCAACAUAUGAUGGGAUUUGCAUGUGCAACUAACAAAACUUGUAAGUCAAUGAAUAUUUAAAUUUUCGACCUUGAAGUGUACAGGCUUUUCAUUUGUUACAAAACUUGUAGCCAACUUUUGUAGACUAGCAAGAUGCGAUUUAUUUAGGGAAACUUUUUUUAUUCAUAAAAUUCCAAAUCGAAAACAUGGAAUGGGUCGAUACUUUCAAUUAAGGACAUCAAAACCUGCCGUAUUGAUUAGGUAGGUAGGUAGCUUGAUCUAUGUAAGGGUUUUAAUUGACACGAUCCUUAUAUGAUCUAUGAUAUUUUAUUUGAUACUUGUCCAUUUGAUUUAUUUUUUUUUAAUAUGAUAAACAGCUAUCAAAUUGCGGGCUUAAAGGUUUAACUCACAAGGUUUUUGCUCUGAUGAACCCUCAAAACAAUUUAUUAGGAAAAAAAUUAACUAAAUAUAAUGUUUAUUAUGAAAUUAUUAUCUAAUUGAAAAACAUGCUUGAAAAUAUAGAAAAAUCAAACAGACAAAACUUUGAAUCUAAUUACAUUAUAGUAUUAUUUUAUUCAAUUUGGUGACCCAAUUUCGGCUGCUUGCCUCUCAUAAUUUCUUGGAAAAUAAUAAUCCGACCAAAUCAUAAACAAUAAUUCAUAACUGCUGUAAACAACAUCACAUAAAGUAAUUUGAUACAUUGCACAACAAUCUUGAUGUUAUUAUUUGAGAAGCCUUUAAAAAAGUUAAUUAGGCCCCUCAAAUGCUUAUCCCACUUUGAAUGACUCGAUCUAACAAAUUGAUACUAAAUUUAUUGAUAAUGAGAUUUAAUUUUCCAUAUAACAGUCUUUAUCAAAUAACUAGUUCAUCAAACUGUACCUUGAUUUAAUUUGAUUUCUUAAUAGGAACCAAGCUUGUGGCAGAGGAAGGAAUUGCUUUGGUGUUGAUGGUGGUGGUUUUGGGCUGUUUUGGCUCGUUCGAUUCGUCGGUAUUUCGGGAUUUCACCAAAGGAAUUUGCUGUUGAGUAGAGAUGUCCCGACCGGCAAACUUUUGAGGAGGAAAGAAGAAAUCAGUGGGGAAGAAUUUAUAUUGAAGUCCAGCCAUGGAUGUAUAGAAAUGAGUUAUUUGAGAGUAUAG